RNAcentral lists this ribosomal RNA (526 nucleotides) under uncultured bacterium. Its description in RNAcentral is "bacterial SSU rRNA". It matches the Rfam family "Bacterial small subunit ribosomal RNA", at positions 355 to 896 of the family's 1533-position model. The record is from RNAcentral.
UGAGGAAUUUUCCGCAAUGGGCGAAAGCCUGACGGAGCAAUGCCGCGUGGAGGAUGAAGGCCUGUGGGUUGUAAACUUCUUUUCUCAGAGAAGAAUUUUGACGGUAUUUGAGGAAUAAGCAUCGGCUAACUCCGUGCCAGCAGCCGCGGUAAUACGGAGGAUGCAAGCGUUAUCCGGAANGAUUGGGCGUAAAGCGUCUGUAGGUGGGUUGUAAAGUCUUUUGUUAAAGAUCAGGGCUUAACCCUGUUUCAGCAGUAGAAACUCAUAACCUAGAGUACGGUAGGGGCAGAGGGAAUUCCCGGUGUAGCGGUGAAAUGCGUAGAUAUCGGGAAGAACACCGACGGCGAAAGCACUCUGCUGGGCCGAAACUGACACUGAGAGACGAAAGCUAGGGGAGCGAAUGGGAUUAGAUACCCCAGUAGUCCUAGCCGUAAACGAUGGAUACUAGGCGCUGUGCGUAUCGACUCGUGCAGUGCUGUAGCUAACGCGUUAAGUAUCCCGCCUGGGGAGUACGUUCGCAAGAAUG